Molecule: long non-coding RNA, 1754 nt
Organism: Coccinella septempunctata (seven-spotted ladybird)
Lineage: Eukaryota; Metazoa; Arthropoda; Insecta; Coleoptera; Coccinellidae
Exons: 2
Source: RefSeq, a predicted model, not a curated record
GACGCAUAGUAAAGAAAAAGAAGAAAAAGUACUUCACGCUGCUGUGGUUAAGUUAGAUUAGGUUAUUUGUGUUGGUUUUGGUUAGUUUAGGUUAUAAUAAUCUUUGGGCUAUGAAUGUUAUGUUUGUCGUUUUGAGAUUAUGAAAUAAGACAAUUAUUACGUUUUACUGUUAGUUUAUGAUUUGUGUGAAAUUUGAAGUGAUAAGUUUUUUUCAGAAUUUUGACUUAUAAAUGAUUGCUGGGUUACGACUUCUGUUUGGAAUUGAACGAGGAAUGAAUUAUUGCAGACACCAAAGACAGGGAAGUUUUCCCUGAAGACAGCUCCUGAAAGAAAAAUUGAUGUUGUAGUAUGGGACUGAGGAUGGCACAUUUCGAAAUUAUUUGGUAUUUGUGUGCCUCAGACACAGCCUAUUUCUGUUUCUGUGAGGUUGGUCUAGUGAUAUAUCUUUACUUUAUAUCUGGAACUUAGCAAGGGAUGAUGAAUUCGCAUUUUUAGUGAUUUUUGGAAGAUAGAGAGGUUUGCUUAGGAAGGCUUCUUGUUCGUUGAAACAUUUCUCGUCUGUAGUUUCAAAAUUGCAGCCCUUUGGUGUGGUAAUUAAGAAAAUUCUUUUUAGAGCAGUAAUGUAAGUCCUUCUACAGACCAUGCAAAUUCAUAUUCCAGAAGGAGAGACUGCUAUGACUCUAGCAUUAUCAAUUUGUCGAAUGAAAUUCUUCUCAAUUUGAACUGGAUGAUAUUGGCAUGAAUGAGGGAAUUUCUUCAGUUGGUAAAAUCAAUCUUUCACUUUGGACCCAUCAACUAAUUUAUCAUUUUGGCAAUAAUAUGUUGAGUGCAUAUUAACACAAGAUGAAGAGGUGUAGUGAUACUGUCUAAUAAUUAUUACUUGUCGGGAUCGAGUGUGAUGUUGGUGGUAAAAAUGUUGACACUGUUUUAAUACUUCAACAUGAUCAACAAGAAUGCUCUAUUUAUCCUAAUCCAGUUCUACUAACAAAUGUCAUAUUGUUGAGCGUGUUGUUAAGGAAGUUGUAUUGGGUUAAUGUAGUCUAUUGACUUUGAUCAAUAGCCGUGGAUUGAAGAAUGUGCGAUAUUGGCUAAGGAAUAUAAUUGUUGCAGUUCAUUGUGUUGCCUAUUCUUGAAUUAGGAAAAUUUAUGAAAUAUGACUUGACUAAUCCAUUACACGAGAACAAAUGAUAAAAUGGGAGAAGCGGGGGGAGAAGGUUUCAAGAUGAACACUAGGGAAAUGAAGAAUAAUCGCUAUUCUGAAUUCAACAAAAUAUGCAUCAACUUGGAUUAAUUCAUAAUACUUAUGAUAUUCUUUCUUAUCCAUGAAAAGUGAAUUAUUUUCAGAAUAAUUCUUGGCAGUUUUAGUUAUAAUUGAUCUUCACUCAGAAAAUUUGACAAUGUUGUGAUGCAAUGUUCCUAGUUUCCAAAAACUUAUGGCGUUUUCAAUUUCAUCAAUUAAUUCAAUAAUAAUACUGUGAGAAGUUAGUUUGUUAUCUGUAUAUGAUAAUAAAAAUUGUCACUGAGAUAGCUGAACCUUUCAGAAAUUCCUUCGAACUGGGAAGCAAUUGUUUUUUGAUAAUGCUCCAGGACUGACAUGGUUUUAUUGAAAUUUUUUAGUAUUUCUCUUGUAAAGCCCGUUUGUAACAGCCGAAUAUUCUCUGGGAUUUUGGCAAGCAAUUAUUUUGUAUGCAACUUAACAGUGAAUUCUUUCAAAAGUGUGUAUGUUACUGUAAAGAAUUCACGGCGCAUGAACU